UUGACGUGUUUGCCCCCCCCCCAAUGCUUUUGACGUGUUUGCCACCGCCCCAAAGGUUAAUUGUGUGCCCAUCUCGUUUUGAGUAGAAUCCAACUCUCCCUGAGUGGGUGUUUCUCUGUGGCAGUAGCUGUUUUUCUUUUUUAUAAAUGUGUAGUUGUAAGUAGUCAUUCACCCAGUUCCUCAUUGGAUCAUUGAGGCAGUCGCGCUCGAUUUAGCUUUUUAGUUCGUGGUAUCUUUGUUUGCCUUUCCUCUGUGCACAAAUUUUGCCUCGUUUCGUCCCAUGUUUGCUUUUCCAUGUUACUGGUGGUGAUGGACGUCCAAUCCAUUUGAACUAUUUAAACCUUUUUAAAAUAAAACCUAAUAUAAUAAGUAUUUAAAUGUGAGCUUUUAAAAUACCCUAAUUAAAGUAGAAAUCACAAAUAAAAUAGAUUUCUUUCAAAAUAAACUCAUUAAAAUAGGUGUCUAAAUGUAGCCUUCAAAAAUACCCUAAUUAGAAAUAAAAUCGGGAUUAAAAUAGAUGUAAAAUAAAAUGGCUUUAACCUUUUCAAAAUCUCCAAUUAAAACACUUUUUUUAAAAAAAAUUACAUAAUUUAAAAAAAUCAAAUGGACUGGACAUCUAAUGCCAUCAAAGGUGACAAAUUAAUCAUUGUAAACUGCCACUAAAAAUGAACUGGUCAAAAAUGUCAGCUCAUUUGUUAAUUGGUCAUGGCCAUCAAACUUUUUAUGUGUUUUUAGACGGAUGGAGAGGACGAUGUUGUAAGCAUCUUGUCGUGGGUUUUUCCCUUUUUCUUCCUACGUCGAUAAUGGACUUGCACAGGUCCGGAAGUGCCCCUUGCCAUUUGUAGUACUGCUAACGCUUGAACUCUCCUGCCGGUGCGUCGAAGGCGUUUUUACCUGAUACUUGGAAGUAAUGAGGUAUACUAUGCGGAUUGGAGGCUUGAUUGUGAAGUGUUGGAGAAGGGACUUGACUUUCACCAUCUUUCCUCGCUCCUCACAGUAAGCCUGAUUGCCGCAACUAUCAAUAUUGCUAACGAAUAAAUCGUGGCCAUGACGUCUAUUCCAAAAGUGUUGAUGUACUUUCCGGAUUGAAUAAGUGCUUUUAUCUUCAUACAUAAACAUGAUUUAACCAUUUGGACAUUUUGACUCAACUGAAGUUUUAACAUUGAGAUGAACUGGGGUGGGGAAAAAAAAGCUGUCAUUGACCACUAUUCUUACAUUCCAGCAUGAAAAAUUCAGCUCUGCCUUGGGGACAUGCCCACCAAAUCUUAAUUUGGGUCAUUUUUGGACUGUAAGCCGCAGAUUUUCAUGUUCAGUGAUGGGAUAUUUACACAAGACAUGCAGCUCACUAGCCUGUAAAAAUCUAUAAGCAAGCCACUGUGGAGUAACGUUGCGGCUCUCAGUCUGAAAAUGACUAUGUGAAAUGUUUUGGGUAUAUAAUGUGUGUUUUAUUGAACACUAGAAGUAUAUUGAUGCAUAGGUAAAAGACAGGUUAAUUUGAAAAUAGUCUUUUAAAAGACUUAAACUCGGAUACGGUAAUUUAAGAGAAGGUCAGGUCGCGUCGAUCAUCAGGAAAGCGGAGCGCAAGAAGGCCUUUGAAGAAUCUGCAGAAGGUAAGCCAUGUUUCUUUCACAACCAACACGCAGUGCAGAUUGAACUAAUUCUGAUUCUUUGAAUCUUCUCCAGGAACGUGUCCCAAAUGAGUCUUUCAAGUCCAGCACUCCUCAGCGUCCCAUGGACCCUCUGCACGCUUGCUUUGUCCUGCACGUGCUUUUCAAGCAGAGGUUCAAUAUUUGCACCUUGGACGAAAUGUGCGUCUCAUCCGUCCAAAGGAAUGCUGACCCGGAAAACCAACCCUUUCAGACGGCGUCAUGAAACAAACGCCAAGGUCCACCCACCUCUGCCGCACAUUCCCAGGCUUAACGCAGACAACUGUCUGCUUUCUAAUGCUCCUUGGCAAAAGACUCCGUUGAUGGACAAAACUUUGGUUUUGUUUUCCAGGAGAGCAGCAAUCUGGAGCUCACCGUGUCUCUCGUUCUCCAUGGGUGGCCAAUGUAGCGGUCGCACAUCGGUGAUGUUGCACUUUGACUUUGUUGACAGUCGAGCGCGUUGAAGGCUCUUGGUACUUGACAAGCCAUCGCCUCUCAUUUUGAGACAUCUGCUGUCGCUUAAAACGAGUGCUUCUCCUUUGUGGUGGUACCUUGCCGCGAGGACGCCCGCCGCGGGGAGUCGGGGUUCCACGGUGACGUGUCGGAAAAGGGACUUGGCGUCACCUUGGGCCACGCUCCUCACAGCGGACGUUGCCGCGGCACUGUUCGGCCACGACGAAGAAGCCCUCGUCUUGAGCGACCGUAGAUGUCUCAACAUCUGAGGCGAUGGCUUGUCAAUUGCUAAGGGCCUUCCUCUCGCUCUUCGGUCAACAAAGGAAAGUGCAACUCCCUUGGCUUGACCGUGUCAUCGGAGAUUCAUGGACAAACGAGGGACGGUGGUUCUGUUCUGCUCUCCCAAAGAACUGCUUCGGGCAGUAGCACCGCAACCUCUCUUGAGGAUUGGGGCAGAGCUGUAGCCUUUAGGAUGUCGGCUCUCAAAACGAUGAGGAGCUGCAUUUCUUCAUCCCCAACUGCACAAGAUUCCUUCACCAAGGAAAAGUGCUCCCCUCUUCAUCUAGAUACCAGCAAUAGGAUGUACACAUCUGGAGCUUCUGCUUGCCACUGCCCCCGUCCAUCUUGCCUGUUGCCCAUCAGCCUUCAACAAAGCUUGGCUGUGAGAGAAGGGCGCAUAAGAGAUCGGGUUGAAUGGUUUCCCCCUCUUGGUCCGAGUAACUUCCUUGUCUUGCCCAACCCAGAAGAAGCAAAACCACCCGUUGCUUCAGUGAGCAGAACCUCCGACUUGGAAUUUCAUGUUUUACAUUUGGGAACUUGAGAUUCGGACAACACCAUCCUGAAAUCUUCUGACUCCUGUCCUCCAGGUACUCUGUUGCUGCAGCAGUUGCAAUGGCAAAGUCAAGUCCCUGGGCUGUUUAUGCCUUCUCCAACACUUUGUCCUUGCACUGCACCGACUUUUUGCAGUCAGAGUUGUACGGAACGGAAUCAGAAGUGAUCAGGAUGAUUGUCAGUUUCUCCUCCUUGUUCCAUGGACCAGUCUUUCCAUGACCACUACUACUAAAACACUUCUUGGAAACUGAAGAGGAGUCCUGGUGUUUUUCCAUCAUAACUACCAGCGUAUGAGCGCCUCCUGGAUUGCCUGAUCAGUACACGUUUUCACGGCAUUCCUUCACCUGACCGCUUGGUGUUGACUUUGAAUUCCUAGUCUUGCCCAAGCCAGAAGCAGAACCUCUGCCUUGGAGCUCAUCUGACCCGACUUGUCAAAGCCUGGAAUGAGUCACUAAGGAAUUUCAUGUUUUACAUUUGGGAACUUGAGAUUCGGACAACACCAUCCUGAAAUCUUCUGACUCCUGUCCUUCAGGUACUCUGUUGCUGCAGCAGUUGCAAUGGCAAAGUCAAGUCCCUGGGCUGUUUAUGCCUUCUCCAACACUUUGUCCUUGCACUGCACCGACUUUUUGCAGUCAGAGUUGUAAGGAACGGAAGCAGAAGUGAUCAGGAUGAUUGUCAGUUUCUCCUCCUUGUUCCAUGGCCCAGUCUUUCCAUGACAACUACUACUGAAGCACUUCUUGGAAACUGAAGAGGGGUCCUGGUGGUUUGCCAGCAUAUGAGCUUUUCCUGGACUCGGAUCAUUCUUUGGCAGAAUGAAAGUCUUCACGGCGUUUCUCAGCCUGACCGCCUGGUGUUGACUUUGCCUGCUCCCCUGUUAACUUCGUGCUCUGCCCCAGCAUUUGUGGUGUCUCACUGCUCUGCCGGAAAUGCCCCUUUCUGGCCUCUGCCCCCCCCCCCCCUUCCAAGUCAAUCGCUCCACCAUAACUCCCAGCUUAACCCAGCAUAUGAGCUCCAGGACUGCCAGACUAUUCUUUGGCAGUAUGCAAGUCUUCAUGGCGCUUCUCAGCCUGACCUCCUAGUGUUGACCUUGCCUGUUUAACCUCGCAUGAUCUGGAGCUCUGCGUCUGCAUUUAUGCGGUCUCACUGCUCUGCCGGAAAUGCCCCCUUCUGGCCUCUGCUCCCCUCCGGCGUGUUGGUCGUGCCGCCCCUUGCUUGCCACUGUAUUUGGAAGAACCUUUAGGGUCACUUGUGGACCUGAUCAAAAUGAAGGUGUGGAGUUUCAAGCAUUUGGACACGCUGCGUGGGACGGAACCAUGAGUCUCAAGAAACGUCAGCUCACAUUAGCCGUGCUGUUUUGGAGCCCAUUAGUGACCAUGCUGCUCAUGGUUUUGAUGGAGGACCUGCACGUGACCCACCACCGCUGCUGCCCUGAGCUGCAUCUUCGGCGGGCUGCUGAAGCACCACUCAAUGGCUCUUUUAAGAGCUUUUUUUUUUUUUUUUUUCCCCCCUCCCCCUUCAAUCAUAAAUGGCUAAGAGAAUGUAAAUAAACAAGUGAAAUUUUUCUGUCGGUUUUUCAUUCUUCAUAUUAAAUGUCUGUACUUAAAAUGAUGACUGAAAUACUGUCCUCACUAUUAUUGGCAUGAAUAAAGUCCAUUGGGUUAUU
Long non-coding RNA from Corythoichthys intestinalis (scribbled pipefish), 4593 nucleotides. RefSeq lists it as uncharacterized. The record is from RefSeq and is a predicted model, not a curated record. The transcript has 3 exons. Lineage: Eukaryota; Metazoa; Chordata; Actinopteri; Syngnathiformes; Syngnathidae.